GACGAACGCUGGCGGCGUGCCUAACACAUGCAAGUCGAACGGAAAGGCCAUGAUUUUGUGGGGUGCUCGAGUGGCGAACGGGUGAGUAACACGUGAGUAAACUGUCCUUGACUGUGGGAUAACUUCAGGAAACUGGGGAUCAUACCGGGUAGAAGAUCCUGCUGCAUGGGGGGGGUUGGAAAGAGUCGGCGGUUGGGGCUGGACUAGAGGCUUAUCAGCUUGUUGGUGGGGUAGUGGCUUACCAAGGCUAUGACGGGUAGCCGGCCUGAGAGGUUGACCGGCCACAUUGGGCCUGAGGUACGCCCCAGUCGCCUACGGUAGGCAGCAGUGGGGAACAUUGCACAAUGGGCGGAAGCCUGAUGCAGCAACGCCGCGUGCGUGAUGACGUCCUUCGGGUUGUAAACCGCUUUCGCCUGUGCCGAAGCGUGAGUGACGGUAAUGGGUAAAGAAGCACCGGCUAACUACGUG
RNAcentral lists this ribosomal RNA (468 nucleotides) under uncultured bacterium. RNAcentral describes it as "partial 16S ribosomal RNA". It matches the Rfam family "Bacterial small subunit ribosomal RNA", at positions 28 to 507 of the family's 1533-position model. The record is from RNAcentral.